UUCUGAAUGACUGGUUUUUGGAUCUGAACUUUGGUCCAAGAAGGAGCAUCUUUCUGGCUUUACCCUGGAUUUACCCUAUGGAAACAUUUUGGGAAUAACUGAGGGGCAGUUGAUCAUUUUGACUGAAGCUCUCUGGGAUCUUAGCUGGUCCCAGAAGCAGUGUCCUUUCUGAGUUCCUCAGUUUUUCCCUGUUACAAUUUGUGAAUACCAGGACUUCAUUGAUCAUGAGAAGAAACCAGAAGAUUUUGUUUUUCUCUGGGCUCUGGAGAAACCCAGAGCCAAAGCUGAACUUCUGCUGGGCUUCAACCAAUUUGCUCUAGCUGCUCUUUUGAUAAUUUGGAGAUAAAGAUUAAGAUGAAUAUAUUAUUCAUAAGUUAUUUAUGGAAAUAGAUUAUUUAGGUAGGAAAAUUUGGGGUUAAUUUAGUGGUAACAAGAAAUAGAGUAUCCUGGUUUCCAGGAGAAGAAAGACCAUGAGGUCUAGAUAGGAGCAGGCAAAAGCUUAGUAUUUCAUUAGUUUUAGGUUUUCCUGUUUAUCACUUCAUUGAAUACUUUUAACUUUUAUUAAAUUAAGAUUAUUUUGUACAUAUGUCUCCUAUAUUAUCCAUUGUGCAAAUCUACAAAGUAGGCUCAAUACUGUUAGCUUGGCCCUUUUAUCUAGAGUAUUUGAUUAACAACAAUCAUAUCCUGAGUCUAGAUACUAUCUUUAACAGUUUUUAACAGCUCCAUUACAAAUAAGAUUGAUCUGGAGGUUUAUCACCUAAUUUAAAUUUAUUUGCAAAGAGAGAGAGAGAGUGAAGAGAGAGAGGGGGAAAGAGAAAGAUUGCAGUCUUACUAAUUUAAGGUAAGAUCAGAUCCCAGAUUUCAGUACAGCAAAGUCCUCUCCAUGUUGUGCUGUUGCUUACCAAGUGCCAGCCCAGGGAGUGCCAAAAGCUGGGAUCUUUGGGCUCAUCAAGCCCUAGCUUGCUGAGGUAAUUUACUCCUAGUUCAUCCUUCUGCCUCUUAGCCAGUACCACAUUGUUUUGAUGACCACUGCUUUAUAGUACAGAUUAAGAUAUGGUACUGCUAGUUCCCCAUCCUUCAUUUUUAUUUGUUUACAUUAUUUUCCUUGAUAGUCUUGACUUUUUGUUCUUCCAGAUAAACUUUGUUAUAAUUUUUUAAUUCUAUAAAAAAAUAUUUUUUGUUUUGUUUUUUUUUGAAAAUAUGACCCUGAAUAAGUAGAUUAAUUUGGGUAGGAUUGCCAUUUUAUUGUGUUAGCUCAUUCUACCUACAAGCAAUUAAUGUUUUUCCAAUAUUUAUAUCUAGUUUUAAUUGUGUGAAAAAUGUUUUGUACUUGAGUUCAUAUUAUUCCUGUGUUUCUCUUGGAGGAUAGAGUACUAAAUAUUUUAUAUUGACGCGACUUUAAAAGGAGUUUCUCUUUUUAACUCCUGCUACUGACUUUUUUUUUGAAAUAUUUAGAAAUGCUGAUGCUUUAUGUGGGUUCAUCUCAUACCCUAUAACUUUGUUAAUGUUCUUAAUUAUUUCCACUAGCCUUUUAGUUGAUUUUCUAGGAUUCUUUACAUCAUAUCAUUUCCAAAGAGUGACAGUUUAAUUUUCUCAUUGUCUAUCUUCAAUCUCUUCAACUUCUUUUUCUUCUCUUAUUUCUACUGCUAGCAUUUCUAGUACAAUAUUAAAUAAUAGAAGUGAUAAUUGUCUUCCUUGCUUCACUCCUGGUCUUAAUGGAAAGGCUUCUAACUUGUCCAACUUGCAGAUGAUACUUGCUGAUGAUUUUAAAUAUAUACUAUUUAUUAUUUUGUGGAAUUACCCUUCUAUUUCUAUACUUUCUAGUGUUUUCAAUAGUAAUGGGUUUUGUAUUUUGUCAAAGAUUUUUCUACAUCUAUUUAGAUAAUCAUGUGAUUUUUGUUAGUUUAAUUAUUGAUGUGGUCAAUUAUGUGGAUGGUUUUCCUAAUAUUAAAUCAUCCUUGCAUUCCUGGUAUAAAACCCACCUGGUCAUAGUGAAUAAUCCAUGUGAUAACUUGCUGUAAUCUUUUUGCUAAUAUUUUAUUUGACAUUUCUGCAUCUAUGUCCAUUAAGAAGAUUGAUUUAUAGUUUUCCUUCUCUGUUUUUGGUCUACCUAGCUUUGGAAUCAAUACCAUAUUUGUGUCAUAAAAAAAUUCGUAAGAAUUUUUCUUUGCUUAUUUUGUCAAAUCAUUUGAAUUGUGCACACCCACACUACAUGGGCAUGUGCUAGUCAAUGACAAAUCAGAAAUAACUAACUGCCCACCUGGUCUGUCCUAAGCCAAGCUUGAGCCACCAUUGGCACUUGUGAGGCACAGGAAAUGAAGAAGGGAACAGCCUCUGGAAUUUGCACUUCCUGUGGACAUAGCUAGGUGUGAGUUCGUGCUAGGAGCUUGAGGAGGGAGGAAGCCCGCAGACAGCUUCCAUUCAGAUCGGUCAUGUGAGUCAAGGACUGAUUUUCUUCUCUACCUUGGCCCUUUAGGCCUAAACUCCCUCUGGCUCAGCCAGAAGUUUGAGCUAACCAUUUCCCCUUUUCUCCUCUCUCCUUUUCUCCCUCUCCCCUUUUCUUACUCCCAUUGUGAUUAAACCACCAUACAUUCCAUUCUGACUUGAAUGCUUCAUUUAAGGAAUUUCAUGCGUAAAUUCCUUGGUGACCAUAAAUUAAUAUUAUAGCAACUUUUAAAGGUGAUUUUCACCUUAACAGUUAUAGAUGAUCACCCUCCUCUCUGAUAAUUAAGGAAUAAUUGAUCUUUGAAACUCACUUACCUCUAGUAUUCUUGGAUAAAAACAUUUUUACCCAGUCAGGAUUCCUCUGGUGAGCCUUCUCCUUAGAAAUCAAGUUACCCCAAACUUCAAUGCAGAAAAAUAAGAAUAGGAAACUCAUCCCAAGGGGAGGUCUAGCACAAGAUGGUUCUCUCUUCAUGUGAUAAACUGAAACAGAGGUUUCACUUUAAACUGGUUGAUGAGAAGUCCUUAGAACUAAGAGUGAGCAUAUUCCUCAACCAUACUUUAGAUAGAACUGGGAAAGGUUUCCUAUUGAACUGGACUGAAAAAUAUGAUUUGACAAAAAGGAGAGUAAUAUGGUACACAGAGUAAUAUUUAUUAGAAAGUAGUACAACAUAAUAUUGACUUAUCUUACACUUAAAUUAAUAUCUGAAAAAAUCAAUAAAUUAUAUGAUUUGUGACUGCUCGUACUUCAUUUUCCAUUGCAUGGAUAUGACCAUUUGGAACAAAUAAAGGGGCAAAUAGUAAAUGUGUAUGUUGCCUCAUUUUGCUUAUUAUGCUUCAUGAUUCACUAUGGUUAGUGUCCAUCAUGUGGUGACCAACCUUUUCAAAUGGAUGCCUCUUUCUUAGUUAGACUGUUUCUCUAUUUGUAAUCUGUAACUAGAACAAUAUUUGAUUACUAUUUCUCAUAAUUAAUAGAACUUGUUUGAACAUGAAUUCUGAUGGGAUACCUUUUUUUUAGAUCCCAGUGUUACUUUGUACUCAGUGAUAAGAUAAUGAAACAAAAGGUUAACUCAAAAUGUAUUUGCAUAAGACUCCAACUUGGUACAUAUUAAUUAUUUAGUGCUCUACACCUGAGGGUAAAACAGAGUGGGUAAGAGCUAGUGAAGAAAUAUCCUGAUCUUCUGACUGUUUACACUGGAAGAGAAGAUACAUGGUAACAACUCUUCAAGUUCCCAAAGCAAAAACAAAACUCUUGGACAGAGAGCAACAUGUAGAGGAACAGAUUAAAAACAAUUUCUAUUCAGAAGGGUCAAGAUGGAAUAAGUUGUCAGCACAGCCAAUUUAAUGGAAAGUUAUGGAUCUCUUCCAGUUGGAGUUGUAAUUAGUUGCUGGACAAAUAAAGGAAUGGGGUUGACUUACAAAUCAACCAUUCCCUGAAUAUGAGUUGGUAAGAAUUUCAUGAAGUUUGCAGCCUCACUCACCCAAAAUCUUUGAAGUUCAGAGGUAAAACAAAAAUCAGGAUGACUGGCAAUGUUCUGGGAUACACAGUGGAUUACCUUGCUAUCUUCAAUGUCUGACUAAGCUCUAAGCACUCCACUUCAUGGCCAUUGGAACAAAUUUUUCUUAUCUACCCCUUCUACCAGGACGGAAGUCCUCAUAUGCUUGUGAAAAAUGUCUCUCCCAUUUGCAAAUGGGUUUGAAGCCUAUUGUUUACCCUAAUGGAAGUGGUUAUUUUUUCAUUUAACAUUUUAUAUGUUGUUUGAUUCUAUCACAAAUGCAUGUUCCAUGUUCCAUUGCAUGUACAUUUUAUAACAAGUCAAAUUAUAUCUGUCUUAACUUUAUAUCCCUCUUACAUCUAAGAAUACAUUUCUAUGGCUUAUCUAGAAUUAAUUUCUGAUGUUAAGUUAAUAAAAAUGUUUUUUGGAGGUAGUGCUUCUGAAAUGAGAAAAUGGAGAUCCAUAGAGCCGUCAACUUCAUGUGGAUCUUUCUGGGUACAUUUAAUUUAUUUUAAUGACAAUGCUUUUAAAUUAUAACAGAAAAUUGAAGUUAAAACAACAACAACAACAUUUUUCACACAAAAUGCCUUCCUGAAAUACUUGUUAACAAAGGCAUAUUUCUUGUUCAGUUAAGGGUUGUAUUAUGUGGUCUCUGUGGUCCCCUGUACAUUUGAAAUUUUGUGAUUCUAUGAUAUAUUCCCAUUCUGUAUAAGGGCCUAAAGAAACUUACCUGAGAGAAAGGUAUUAAAAUGGGAUAUCUCGAGUCUAUGAGUGUGAAGGCAACCUAUGGGAAGGUGGAAUGGGGUAGAUAGGGUUUUAAGAGUUCUUUCAAUGGACUUAUAGUGACAAUCACAGCAAAGGGGCAUUAUACAUAAGAACUAACAGUUUAAUGGUACUGGUUAAGGACAGGACUGGAAUCACCAUGCAGGUCUUGCAUUUGGUUGAGUACAAACUCCAGUUUUUCAACUUCUGACAGCAUGUCUCCAUUAAGACAGAUUCCUAAGUGGUUCCCUAAGCCUCUUAGGAACAUACAUUACAUUUAGGAACCUGUAUUAGACAACAGCUGCUGGCUAUAGCUGAAUAAUCAUCCAUUCAAAUGGAACAGAUUCAAGGAAGAAUGUGAAGGGCAGUUUUUCUAUCUGUUCUGGCUCUGGAAGGUAUGCUCUAGUGCCCUGUGAAGCCAGAAGGAGAGAAUCAGGCUAAAAAACUUUAAGAUGCUGCUUAGAUUCAUAAUAUUCUUCUGGGUAAAUAGAUUGAAAAAAAUCAGCACUGAACUGUACUGGGAGAAAAAUCUUGUACCAUUCCCAAAAUAAAUGU
Long non-coding RNA from Monodelphis domestica (gray short-tailed opossum), 5255 nucleotides. RefSeq lists it as uncharacterized. The record is from RefSeq and is a predicted model, not a curated record. Lineage: Eukaryota; Metazoa; Chordata; Mammalia; Didelphimorphia; Didelphidae.